This is a small RNA of 105 nucleotides. It matches the Rfam family "che1 RNA". The record is from Rfam.
GGGACAGGGGGGUCUCCGUCCGCUGGAUGGAACCAACCGGAUGGAGCCUGUCCCGCAGGUUGCGCGAGAGCGUGGCCAGUGGUUGUCGCUCGGGGGUGAUCGCCG